Molecule: long non-coding RNA, 625 nt
Organism: Rhinolophus ferrumequinum (greater horseshoe bat)
Lineage: Eukaryota; Metazoa; Chordata; Mammalia; Chiroptera; Rhinolophidae
Exons: 3
Source: RefSeq, a predicted model, not a curated record
GAAGGCUCCGCCUCUAGUGCCCACAACUCAGGAUCCCGAGCUGGCACCGCCACUCACCCGGAGCUAAAGCCCUUGGCCUGCAGCCAGGACCCAGGACCUGGCUACCAGCACUUCUUACCUCAAGACCCAGGAGUCUGCCCUGGCUUACCAGAAUUCCGGCAGGGCUUUGGCUGCGCCCUACCCGGGGCCCUGGGUGGGGUGUCAGGAUAUUAUAGGGUGAGGAGGUGGAGGAAGAGGGAUGUAAAGUGACCGGGUGAUGGAAAGGUCUCAGAACAAGAAAGAGGCGGAGCUGACCUGGAACCCAGGCAGGCUAGCCCCCGAGCCCAUGUCCUGAGCAACUCUGCUCUCCUGUGCAUGCAGCUGCACAUGAACCUGAGCUCUGCCCUGGCCUCGACUUCUUAACUGCUAGCCUGUACAACCUCAUGGACGUCUCAUUCUUCCGGGAAGGGAUUAUUAUUAUGAUUCCCAUUUUCUCUCCAAAGAACUCAAAAGCUGGGGUCAAGCCCAAGAUUCAGAAGCACAGAGGUAGGGUAGGGAGGGGGUUCCGCAAGACCAGGCAUCUGGGGGGAGGGGAGCAGGAUUUGGGCUCUGACCCCCCAGUAAGAGGGAUCUCAGCCCAGAUCAG